This 65-nucleotide transfer RNA is filed under the name Hycleus scutellatus. RNAcentral's name for it is "tRNA-Leu". It matches the Rfam family "tRNA". Rfam says of the family: Transfer RNA (tRNA) molecules are approximately 80 nucleotides in length. Their secondary structure includes four short double-helical elements and three loops (D, anti-codon, and T loops). The record is from RNAcentral. Lineage: Eukaryota; Metazoa; Arthropoda; Insecta; Coleoptera; Meloidae.
UCUAAUGUGGCAGAGUAGUGCAAUGGACUUAAACCCCAGACACAAAGGCUGACCUUUCUUUAGAA